CAUGCAGUCGAGCGGGCCCUUCGGGGUCAGCGGCAGACGGGUGAGUAACACGUGGGKWCGUACCCUUUGGUUCGGAAUAACGCUGGGAAACUAGCGCUAAUACCGGAUACGCCCUUUUGGGGAAAGGYUUGYUGCCGAAGGAUCGGCCCGCGUCUGAUUAGCUAGUUGGUGGGGUAAUGGCCUACCAAGGCGACSAUCAGUAGCUGGUCUGAGAGGAUGAUCAGCCACACUGGGACUGAGACACGGCCCAGACUCCUACGGGAGGCAGCAGUGGGGAAUAUUGGACAAKGGGCGCRAGCCUGAUCCAGCCAUGCCGCGUGAGUGAUGAAKGCCUUAGGGUUGUAAAGCUCUUUUGUCCGGGACGAUAAUGACGGUACCGGAAGAAUAAGCCCCGGCUAACUUCGUGCCA
This 409-nucleotide ribosomal RNA is filed under the name Methylobacterium sp. AN11. RNAcentral describes it as "bacterial SSU rRNA". It matches the Rfam family "Bacterial small subunit ribosomal RNA", at positions 54 to 510 of the family's 1533-position model. Lineage: Bacteria; Pseudomonadati; Pseudomonadota; Alphaproteobacteria; Hyphomicrobiales; Methylobacteriaceae. The record is from RNAcentral.